This 451-nucleotide ribosomal RNA is filed under the name uncultured bacterium. RNAcentral describes it as "partial 16S ribosomal RNA". It matches the Rfam family "Bacterial small subunit ribosomal RNA", at positions 28 to 507 of the family's 1533-position model. The record is from RNAcentral.
GAUGAACGCUGGCGGCGUGCCUAACACAUGCAAGUCGAGCGGCAGCGAGGGGUGCUUGCACCCUGUCGGCGAGCGGCGGACGGCUGAGUAACGCGUGGGAACGUGCCCCAAAGUGAGGAAUAACUGCCCGAAAGGGUAGCUAAUACCGCAUAGUAUCUUCGGAUCAAAGGAUUUAUCCGCUUUGUGAGCGGCUGGCGUCGGAUUAUGUAUUGGUUGAGGUAAUGGCUCACCAAGGCGACGAUCAGUAGCUGGUCUGAGAGGAUGACCAGCCAGACUGGAACUGAGACACGGCCCAAACUCCGACGGGAGGCAGCAGGGGGGAAUCUUGCGCAAUGGGCGAAAGCCUGACGCAGCCAUGCCGCGGGAAGGAAGAAGGUCUUAGGAUUGUAAAAGGCUUUCACCGGGGACGAGAAUGACGGGACCCGAAGAAGAAGACCCGGCUAGCUUCGGG